This 486-nucleotide ribosomal RNA is filed under the name uncultured bacterium. RNAcentral describes it as "partial 16S ribosomal RNA". It matches the Rfam family "Bacterial small subunit ribosomal RNA", at positions 30 to 507 of the family's 1533-position model. The record is from RNAcentral.
AUUGAACGCUGGCGGCAUGCCUUACACAUGCAAGUCGAACGGCAGCACGGGUGCUUGCACCUGGUGGCGAGUGGCGAACGGGUGAGUAAUACAUCGGAACAUAUCCUGUAGUGGGGGAUAGCCCGGCGAAAGCCGGAUUAAUACCGCAUACGAUCCACGGAUGAAAGCGGGGGACCUUCGGGCCUCGCGCUAUAGGGUUGGCCGAUGGCUGAUUAGCUAGUUGGUGGGGUAAAGGCCUACCAAGGCGACGAUCAGUAGCUGGUCUGAGAGGACGACCAGCCACACUGGGACUGAGACACGGCCCAGACUCCUACGGGAGGCAGCAGUGGGGAAUUUUGGACAAUGGGCGAAAGCCUGAUCCAGCAAUGCCGCGUGUGUGAAGAAGGCCUUCGGGUUGUAAAGCACUUUUGUCCGGAAAGAAAUCCUUGACUCUAAUACAGUCGGGGGAUGACGGUACCGGAAGAAUAAGCACCGGCUAACUACGUG